Meriones unguiculatus (Mongolian gerbil) is the source of this 707-nucleotide long non-coding RNA. RefSeq lists it as uncharacterized. NCBI's taxonomy places the organism in Eukaryota, Metazoa, Chordata, Mammalia, Rodentia, Muridae. The record is from RefSeq and is a predicted model, not a curated record. The transcript is spliced from 5 exons.
GAGGGCAGAGAGCUGCCGUCAGCUCGUGGAGGGAAGAGUCACAAGCCAAAGGAUGGCAGGCCAAGGAAGGGGCUGCGGGUCUGUUCCCUGGGCAGGAAAUUCAGAAAACUCCAUGGUGGAGCUUGGGCUUGGGACUCAGCCACAUUCUGAGACCAGAGGCUACUGAACAUUGCAGAGCCCUCCGGAUCUGCCAAGCAUCAAAGAUCAAAACCACAGACAUGCAGGAAAAAGAGGUACAACAGGCAAUGGCUUCAGCCUCUUUGGAAACCUGGAGUUUAUAGCUUGAGCUGGACCUAAAACCUGACCAUCAUCCACCAUGCCUGGAUUUAAACUCAGUACAUUGGUCAUGGCCAUCUCCAGCAGACCCCUUACCACCAAGCCCUAAAUUCAAACAGGAUGAGCGACCUCCUCUGCCUGCUCUGAUUUCUCAAGGCCCACGGUCCACAGAGGAAAUCCCUACCUGACUCGGCGAUCAGCCCGAAACUUCAACAUCUUUUUGGAAGCUCAGUCCCCAGUUCGGCAGCCUCAGAGGAGCCACCAGCCACCCUGCUGCUACCAUCCCUCUGAGAAGGAGACGGUGCUCCGGCCUCUCCAGCUCCCAGCCCAGACACAGGCUCUGGCACUGCAAACCAACUUGCUUCUCAGAGACCUGCCAAGCCCUUCUGAGUGUUAAAGGGAGCUCCAGGUUCAUUGGUUGCUCUGGUUGC